GGGGUUGUAGCUCAGUGGCAGAGUACUUGCCUAACACGUGUGAGGCCCUGGGUUCAAUCCUCAGCAUUAUCA
RNAcentral lists this transfer RNA (72 nucleotides) under Ictidomys tridecemlineatus (thirteen-lined ground squirrel). RNAcentral describes it as "Spermophilus tridecemlineatus (thirteen-lined ground squirrel) tRNA". It matches the Rfam family "tRNA". Rfam says of the family: Transfer RNA (tRNA) molecules are approximately 80 nucleotides in length. Their secondary structure includes four short double-helical elements and three loops (D, anti-codon, and T loops). The record is from Rfam by way of RNAcentral. Lineage: Eukaryota; Metazoa; Chordata; Mammalia; Rodentia; Sciuridae.